GAUUAACGCUGGCGGCGUGCAUAACACAUGCAAGUCGAACGAUGAAACUUAACUGAUUUCUUCGGAAUGAUUUUAAGUGGAUUAGUGGCGGACGGGUGAGUAACGCGUGAGUAACCUGCCUUGGAGAAGGGGAUAGCCUUUGGAUACGAAGAAUAAUACCCUAUGAUAUGAUAAUAUCUCAUGAUAUUAUCAUCAAAGAUUUAUCGCUCUAAGAUGGACUUGCGUCUGAUUAGUUAGUUGGUGAGGUAACAGCUCACCAAGGCAGCGAUCAGUAGCCGGCUUGGGGGAGUGUACGACAACAUUGGGACUGGGACAAGGCCCAGACUCCUACGGGAGGGAGCAGUGGGGAAUUAUGCACAAUGGGGGAAACACUGAUGCAGCGACGCCGCGUGAUUUAGAAGGCCUGCGAGUUGUAAAGAUCUUUUGUAUGGGAAGAAAAUGACAGUACCAAACGAAUAAGGACCGGCUAAUUACGUG
RNAcentral lists this ribosomal RNA (477 nucleotides) under uncultured bacterium. RNAcentral describes it as "partial 16S ribosomal RNA". It matches the Rfam family "Bacterial small subunit ribosomal RNA", at positions 28 to 507 of the family's 1533-position model. The record is from RNAcentral.